RNAcentral lists this ribosomal RNA (388 nucleotides) under uncultured bacterium. RNAcentral's name for it is "bacterial SSU rRNA". It matches the Rfam family "Bacterial small subunit ribosomal RNA", at positions 30 to 420 of the family's 1533-position model. The record is from RNAcentral.
AUUGAACGCUGGCGGCAUGCCUUACACAUGCAAGUCGAACGGCAGCAGACCUUCGGGUGCCGGCGAGUGGCGAACGGGUGAGUAAUAUAUCGGAACGUACCUUUCAGUGGGGGAUAACGUAGCGAAAGUUACGCUAAUACCGCAUAUUCUGUGAGCAGGAAAGCAGGGGAUCGCAAGACCUUGCGCUGAUUGAGCGGCCGAUAUCAGAUUAGCUAGUUGGUGAGGUAAAGGCUCACCAAGGCGACGAUCUGUAGCGGGUCUGAGAGGAUGACCCGCCACACUGGAACUGAGACACGGUCCAGACUCCUACGGGAGGCAGCAGUGGGGAAUUUUGGACAAUGGGCGCAAGCCUGAUCCAGCCAUGCCGCGUGAGUGAAGAAGGCCUCGG